GACGAACGCUGGCGGCGUGCCUAAUACAUGCAAGUAGAACGCACAGUUUAUACCGUAGCUUGCUACACCAUAGACUGUGAGUUGCGAACGGGUGAGUAACGCGUAGGUAACCUGCCUGGGAUCGGGGGAUAACACUUGGAAACGAUAGCUAAUACCGCAUAAUAUUAAUUAUUCCAUGAUAAUUAAUUGAAAGGUGCAAUUGUACCACUACAAGAUGGAUCUGCGCUGUAUUAGCUAGUAGGUAAGGUAACGGCUCACCCAGGGGACGAUACAUAGCCGACCUGAGAGGGUGAUCGGCCACACUGGAACUGAGACACGGCCCAGACUCCUACGGGAGGCAGCAGUAGGGAAUCUUCGGCAAUGGACGAAAGUCUGACCGAGCAACGCCGCGUGAGUGAAGAAGGUCUUCGGAUCGUAAAGCUCUGUUGUUAGAGAAGAACGGGUGUGAGAGUGGAAGGUCCAAACUGUGACGGUAUCUUACCAGAAAGGAAGGGCUAACUCCGU
RNAcentral lists this ribosomal RNA (504 nucleotides) under uncultured bacterium. Its description in RNAcentral is "partial 16S ribosomal RNA". It matches the Rfam family "Bacterial small subunit ribosomal RNA", at positions 28 to 506 of the family's 1533-position model. The record is from RNAcentral.